Molecule: ribosomal RNA, 194 nt
Filed under: uncultured Pseudomonas sp.
Lineage: Bacteria; Pseudomonadati; Pseudomonadota; Gammaproteobacteria; Pseudomonadales; Pseudomonadaceae
Also listed under: 1 other name
Description: partial 16S ribosomal RNA
Rfam family: Bacterial small subunit ribosomal RNA
Source: RNAcentral
CCUACGGGAGGCAGCAGUGGGGAAUAUUGGACAAUGGGCGAAAGCCUGAUCCAGCCAUGCCGCGUGUGUGAAGAAGGUCUUCGGAUUGUAAAGCACUUUAAGUUGGGAGGAAGGGCAUUAACCUAAUACGUUAGUGUUUUGACGUUACCAACAGAAUAAGCACCGGCUAACUUCGUGCCAGCAGCCGCGGUAAU